ACGGGUUUUUACUGAGCUGCAAGACUGUGCAGGAGUAGAGAAGGCUUUGUAGAUGAAGAGGACUAGCUUGAAAUCCCAUUUCUGACACUUGAAUCUGUGGCCUUGGGGAAACUAGGAUGGAUUGGAAGAAGCAAGAGUGAGGACACAGCAGCAGUUGAGAAGCAAUCCAGCAUUGAUGGCAGUCCCCUUACUUAAGGGAGAUGGAGAGAACCGGAAGAGCUCUGGAGCUAUUUAGGAGGAACCUAUGCUGUCAUCAAAGACUUUACCAAAGCCCAAGAGAUGGAGGCAACAUCAUGUAGGCCCAGUAAAGGUAACAGGUACAUACAGACUACUUGCAAGGGGGCAGACUGUUUAAUGAAUAAAGAGCUACGUUUGAGAAGCUCUGAGUUCAAAAGUCAAC
Long non-coding RNA from Leopardus geoffroyi (Geoffroy's cat), 400 nucleotides. RefSeq lists it as uncharacterized. The transcript has 3 exons. Lineage: Eukaryota; Metazoa; Chordata; Mammalia; Carnivora; Felidae. The record is from RefSeq and is a predicted model, not a curated record.